Molecule: long non-coding RNA, 113 nt
Organism: Bradysia coprophila
Lineage: Eukaryota; Metazoa; Arthropoda; Insecta; Diptera; Sciaridae
Source: RefSeq, a predicted model, not a curated record
AUGAUAACUAGGCAAAGAGUGGAUAAUGUAAGACAAAUAGGCUUUCAGCAGAGCAGAGAAUGAAAUGAGAGAGAUGAUGAGUUUCACAUUAUAGGCAUUUGAUACGUAUAUGU